Molecule: ribosomal RNA, 470 nt
Filed under: uncultured bacterium
Lineage: Bacteria
Description: bacterial SSU rRNA
Rfam family: Bacterial small subunit ribosomal RNA
Source: RNAcentral
AAUAAACGCUGGCGGCAGGCCUAACACAUGCAAGUCGAACGGAGUUAUAUUGUAGCUUGCUAUGGUAUAACUUAGUGGCAGACGGGUGAGUAAUGUAUAGGAAUCUACCUAGUAGUACGGAAUAAUUGUUGGAAACGGCAACUAAUACCGUAUGCGCCCUACGGGGGAAAAAUUUAUUGCUAUUAGAUGAGCCUAUAUUAGAUUAGUUAGUUGGUGAGGUAAAGGCUUACCAAGACAAUGAUCUAUAGCUGAUCUGAGAGGAUGAUCAGCCACACUGGAACUGAGAUACGGUCCAGACUCCUACGGGAGGCAGCAGUGGGGAAUAUUGGACAAUGGGCGAAAGCCUGAUCCAGCCAUGCCGCAUGAGUGAAGAAGGCCUUCGGGUUGUAAAGCUCUUUUAGUGAGGAAGAUAAUGACGGUACUCACAGAAGAAGUCCUGGCUAACUCCGUGCCAGCCGCCGCCGUAACAC